Molecule: ribosomal RNA, 497 nt
Filed under: uncultured bacterium
Lineage: Bacteria
Description: partial 16S ribosomal RNA
Rfam family: Bacterial small subunit ribosomal RNA
Source: RNAcentral
GAUGAACGCUGGCGGCGUGCCUAAUACAUGCAAGUCGAGCGAACGGACGAGAAGCUUGCUUCUCUGAUGUUAGCGGCGGACGGGUGAGUAACACGUGGAUAACCUACCUAUAAGACUGGGAUAACUUCGGGAAACCGGAGCUAAUACUGGAUAAUAUUUUGAACCGCAUGGUUCAAAAGUGAAAGACGGUCUUGCUGUCACUUAUAGAUGGAUCCGCGCUGCAUUAGCUAGUUGGUAAGGUAACGGCUUACCAAGGCAACGAUGCAUAGCCGACCUGCGAGGGUGAUCGGCCACACUGGAACUGAGACACGGUCCAGACUCCUACGGGAGGCAGCAGUAGGGAAUCUUCCGCAAUGGGCGAAAGCCUGACGGAGCAACGCCGCGUGAGUGAUGAAGGUCUUCGGAUCGUAAAACUCUGUUAUUAGGGAAGAACAUAUGUGUAAGUAACUGUGCACAUCUUGACGGUACCUAAUCAGAAAGCCACGGCUAACUACGUG